Molecule: ribosomal RNA, 340 nt
Filed under: uncultured eukaryote
Lineage: Eukaryota
Description: partial 18S ribosomal RNA
Rfam family: Eukaryotic small subunit ribosomal RNA
Source: RNAcentral
CCCUUCGAUGUUCUGGGCUGCACGCGCGCUACAAUGACACAUUCAACAAGUUUAUUUAAAUCGCUGUUUUGAAAAAAUUGGCAAAUCUUUUGAAAUUUUGUCGUACUAUGGAUUGUUGAUUGAAAUUAUUCGACGUGAAAAAGGAAUACCUAGUAAAUGUGAUUCAUCAAAUUGCAUUGAUUAUGUCCCUGCCCUUUGUACACACCGCCCGUCGCUCCUACUGAUUGGUAUAUAAGGUAAAAAUCUCGGAGAAGUUGGGAUUUCAUGCAGGUUUACUUGCAUGUGCCUGGCCUCAAAGUUAUUUAAAUCUUCUGUACUAGAGGAAGGAGAAGUCGUAACA